This 215-nucleotide long non-coding RNA is filed under the name Elaeis guineensis (African oil palm). RNAcentral describes it as "long non-coding RNA (EGUI_LNC071910)". The record is from RNAcentral. Lineage: Eukaryota; Viridiplantae; Streptophyta; Magnoliopsida; Arecales; Arecaceae.
CGACACAAGCGGAUUUUUGCACCAACAAAUAUAAUAUUUCAUAAUAAUUAUAAAAUAUUAUAACAAACAACUCAUAUUAUUUCAAUUGUGAUAUCAUUCAAAUACAUGACAAUUAUGAUGUUCAAAAAUAUGGGCAUAGGACCCAUUUUUGGGUUUCUGAUUCGAGUUCAACACUUGACCCAAAGUUUAAUAUUAGGUCAAUCAUUUAUCAUCCA